GACGAAGGAUGCAAGCGUUAUCCGGAUUCAUUGGGUUUAAAGGAUGCGUAGGCGGCCAGAUAAGUCAGUGGUGAAAUCCUGUUGCUUAACAACAGAACUGCCAUUGAUACUGUUUGGCUUGAGUAUAGUUGCUGUGGGCGGAAUAUGACAUGUAGUGGUGAAAUACAUAGAGAUGUCAUAGAACACCGAUUGCGAAGGCAGCUCACAAAACUAUAACUGACGCUGAGACGCGAAAGCGUGGGGAGCAAACAG
RNAcentral lists this ribosomal RNA (252 nucleotides) under uncultured bacterium. RNAcentral's name for it is "partial 16S ribosomal RNA". It matches the Rfam family "Bacterial small subunit ribosomal RNA", at positions 524 to 775 of the family's 1533-position model. The record is from RNAcentral.